Molecule: transfer RNA, 69 nt
Filed under: Heterotis niloticus (African bonytongue)
Lineage: Eukaryota; Metazoa; Chordata; Actinopteri; Osteoglossiformes; Osteoglossidae
Description: tRNA-Pro
Rfam family: tRNA
About the family: Transfer RNA (tRNA) molecules are approximately 80 nucleotides in length. Their secondary structure includes four short double-helical elements and three loops (D, anti-codon, and T loops).
Source: RNAcentral
CAGAGGAUAGUUUAAUGAGAAUCUUAGCUUUGGGAGUUAAGGGCGGAAGUUAAAGUCUUCUUUCUCUGA